UACGUAGGGGGCAAGCGUUGUCCGGAUUUACUGGGCGUAAAGCGCGUGUAGGCGGCCACGCAGGUCCGUUGUGAAAACUGGAGGCUCAACUUCCAGACGUCGACGGAAACCGUGUGGCUAGAGUCCGGAAGAGGAGAGUGGAAUUUCUGGUGUAGCGGUGAAAUGCGCAGAUAUCAGGAAGAACACCAAUGGCGAAGGCAGCUCUCUGGGACGGUACUGACGCUGAGACGCGAAAGCGUGGGGAGCGAACAGG
This 253-nucleotide ribosomal RNA is filed under the name uncultured bacterium. Its description in RNAcentral is "partial 16S ribosomal RNA". It matches the Rfam family "Bacterial small subunit ribosomal RNA", at positions 524 to 776 of the family's 1533-position model. The record is from RNAcentral.